Molecule: ribosomal RNA, 1494 nt
Filed under: Triticum aestivum (bread wheat)
Lineage: Eukaryota; Viridiplantae; Streptophyta; Magnoliopsida; Poales; Poaceae
Description: partial small subunit ribosomal RNA
Source: RNAcentral
AUGGAGGCGGGGAGCGGUGGCCAUCUCGUGCCUCUCCUCGACGUCCAUGGCGGCGGCGGCGGCGGCUUGGACGCGUCCCUCCUGCGCCGCCUCUACAUCGGCCACUUCCUCGCCAGAUGGGGUGCAUGUAUGUGGGAGUUCUCGGUGGGGCUGUACAUGAUCCGCAUCUGGCCGGGCUCGCUGCUUUUCGCGGCCGUCUACGGCGUCGUCGAGGCCUCCUCCGUCGUCGUCUUCGGCCCCAUGGUUGGCACCCUCGUCGAGAGGCUCACAUACCUUCAGGUUUUGGGCCUAUGGCUGCUGGUUCAAAGCUUAUCCUUCAUCACUGCUGGGGUUUCGGUAACCGGACUGCUUAUCUACGAUCAGCUGAAAGACACAAGCUUCCCAGUCUUCUUAGCUCUAGUCGUGGUGACUAACCUGUCGGGCGCGCUCGCGGCGCUCUCAACUCUUGCCGGCACCAUACUGAUUGAGCGAGAAUGGGUGGUGGUGAUUUGCGGCGGGCAUCCGCCGGCGGUACUGACGAAGACCAACUCGAUGAUCCGGAGGAUCGACCUGAGCUGCAAGCUGCUGGCGCCGGUCCUGUCCGGGUUCAUCAUCAGCUUCGUUUCCACGCAGGCCUCCGCGGUGGCGCUUGCGCUGUGGAACCUCGCCUCGGUGUGGCUGCAGUACUGGCUCUUCGUCUCCGUGUACAACGGCGUGCCCGCUCUCAGCGAGGACGUCCAGCUGAGAAGGGAGUCGACCUCAGCGCUGGUGGUGGCACCGGCUGACGAGGAGGUGCAAGGGUGCGGUCAGGACGCACCGGAUUGGAGGGUGGGUGUUACGGAGCGGCUCUCCAUCCUGCCCUGCUGGGACUCAUGGGCGGUUUACAUGAGGCAGGAGGUGAUGCUGCCAGGGGUUGCUCUUGCCAUCCUCUACUUCACAGUACUAAGCUUUGGUACGCUGAUGACUGCAACUCUGGACUGGAAAGGCAUCCCGGCUUACGUGAUCAGCCUGGCACGGGGGUUCAGCGCCGUCGUCGGGAUCGCGGCGACCUUGCUGUACCCGGUGGUGCACUCGUGGGUGUCCACGCUUCGAACGGGGCUCUGGUCCGUCUGGAUGCAGUGGUGCUGCCUGCUGCUCUGCGUCGGCUCCAUCUGGGUGAGCGACGGCGUGGCGUCAGCGUGGGUGCUCAUGGCCGGCGUCGCGGCGUCGCGCCUUGGCCUCUGGAUGUUCGACCUGGCGGUCAUGCAGCUGAUGCAGGACAGCGUCCCGGACUCUGACCGGUGCGUCGUCGGAGGGGUCCAGAACUCGCUGCAGUCCAUGUUCGACUUGCUCACCUACAUCAUGGGCAUCAUCGUCUCCGACCCCAAGGAUUUCAGCGAGCUGAUCGUCCUGUCCUUCCUGCUGGUGACCUGCGCCGCGCUCAUGUACACGCUGCACGUAUACCGCGUACGGAAACACCUCUUGCAUCUGGACAAGAUCUUUGCCAAGAUGGGUUGGUGUGCGACCUUGCAAUAG